AACGAACGCUGGCGGCAGGCCUAACACAUGCAAGUCGAACGUGAAGCCACCUUCGGGUGGCGGAAAGUGGCAGACGGGUGAGUAACGCGUGGGAACGUGCCUUUCGGUUCGGAAUAACCCAGGGAAACUUGGGCUAAUACCGGAUACGCCCUACGGGGGAAAGAUUCAUUGCCGAAAGAUCGGCCCGCGUCGGAUUAGCUAGUUGGUGGGGUAAUGGCCUACCAAGGCGACGAUCCGUAGCUGGUCUGAGAGGAUGAUCAGCCACACUGGGACUGAGACACGGCCCAGACUCCUACGGGAGGCAGCAGUGGGGAAUAUUGUACAAUGGGCGAAAGCCUGAUGCAGCCAUGCCGCGUGGGUGAAGAAGGCCCUAGGGUUGUAAACCCCUUUCAGCGGGGAAGAUAAUGACGGUACCCGCAGAAGAAGUCCCGGCUAACUCCGUGCCAGCCGCCGCCGUAA
This 459-nucleotide ribosomal RNA is filed under the name uncultured bacterium. RNAcentral describes it as "partial 16S ribosomal RNA". It matches the Rfam family "Bacterial small subunit ribosomal RNA", at positions 29 to 523 of the family's 1533-position model. The record is from RNAcentral.